GGGCGGUUAGCUCAGCGGUAGAGCACUGCUUUCACACGGCAGGGGUCACUGGUUCAAGCCCAGUACCGCCCACCA
This 75-nucleotide transfer RNA is filed under the name Gammaproteobacteria bacterium. Its description in RNAcentral is "tRNA-Val". It matches the Rfam family "tRNA". Rfam says of the family: Transfer RNA (tRNA) molecules are approximately 80 nucleotides in length. Lineage: Bacteria; Pseudomonadati; Pseudomonadota; Gammaproteobacteria. The record is from RNAcentral.